GAAUGUGAGACAAAAUGUAUAAUCUUCUAAGAUGAAUGGAUACACAUGGAAAGGAAAAUGGUAUCCAGCCAAGGAAGUGUGGGUGUGCUUCAGAAUGAGAUAUUCCCAAACAAGGAUGGUGUUUCAGAAGGGCAAUUAGAUGGCACAAUGGAUGGAGUACCAGGUCUAGAGUCAGGAGAAUUCACCUUCCAAAAUUGAAAUCUGGUCUGAGACACUCGCUGUGUUACUCUGGGGGGCUAAUAAUAAAGCACACCACCUACCCA
RNAcentral lists this long non-coding RNA (263 nucleotides) under Monodelphis domestica (gray short-tailed opossum). Its description in RNAcentral is "lncRNA (ENSMODG00000047570.1)". Lineage: Eukaryota; Metazoa; Chordata; Mammalia; Didelphimorphia; Didelphidae. The record is from RNAcentral.